This 222-nucleotide long non-coding RNA is filed under the name Mytilus galloprovincialis (Mediterranean mussel). The record is from RNAcentral. Lineage: Eukaryota; Metazoa; Mollusca; Bivalvia; Mytilida; Mytilidae.
GCUAGGAUGAAAAAUUUUGUCCUGCAUUUUUUUUAGUUGUAAUUUCUGUCCUGCCUUUUUAUUUUUCACUCUAUUCGGUCCUGCCUUUUUUUUAUUAGUUUGUCCUGACUUUUUUUACCUAAAUUGUCAUCCUGCCUUUUUUAUUUGCAAAGUGUCUCAUCCUGCCUUUUUUUUUUUACUCAAAACUCCUGUCCUGCCUAUUUUUUCAAAUUUCAUCCUAGC